Blastomyces gilchristii SLH14081 is the source of this 103-nucleotide small nucleolar RNA. It matches the Rfam family "A. fumigatus snoRNA Afu_513". The record is from Rfam. NCBI's taxonomy places the organism in Eukaryota, Fungi, Ascomycota, Eurotiomycetes, Onygenales, Ajellomycetaceae.
UUCUAGGAUGAAUGGCACUGGGCUCUGACGGUGUUGAUAUAACAACCCGGUUAUGAUGGACAUGCCCUUUCGUGGCAGGCCUAGAAAACCUUGCCCACUGAUU